RNAcentral lists this non-coding RNA (28 nucleotides) under Bombyx mori (domestic silkworm). The record is from RNAcentral. Lineage: Eukaryota; Metazoa; Arthropoda; Insecta; Lepidoptera; Bombycidae.
UAGUAUACCUGCAUUAUGCUCUACGAAC